RNAcentral lists this long non-coding RNA (385 nucleotides) under Salvia miltiorrhiza (redroot sage). RNAcentral's name for it is "long non-coding RNA (SMIL_LNC013282)". The record is from RNAcentral. Lineage: Eukaryota; Viridiplantae; Streptophyta; Magnoliopsida; Lamiales; Lamiaceae.
AAUUUUACAUACGAUAGGGAUCUGAGGGAGAUAGGAUAGAGGCGUGGGGGAUGGGGACAUGUAGAUUCAAUUUUACAAUGAACACAAUGAUGUUGAUUUGUGGGAGGCUUUAGAAAGGGGAUUUGCGGAAUUCUAUGGGCCUUCAUACUGAGGUUGAUAAAUAUUCUCUGCCUCUAUUUUUUUUAUUUUUUUUUACAAUCUGAAUUCUUGAUACAAGUAGAUUCUGUAUUUGUGCGACGGCACCAUCAUGAAAUUAAGCUAUUAGAUUGAGUUUCAAGAUUUCCCCAUAAAAGGGCUUUUGAUGCUUGUUUAUUUAGCUUCAUUCUUGAACUUUUAUUUUGCUCACUUCUGAUGCGUGUCUCAAGGUCUUUGAAGCGAAAAUGGC